GAGUUGUCCGAGUGCAGCGGUAUUUACAACAAAUUGGUCACCACCAGUAAUAGAUGUCUUUGUUCUUUCUCUCCUCCCUCUGCUUCACUUGACUAGCCUUAA
Otolemur garnettii (small-eared galago) is the source of this 102-nucleotide unclassified non-coding RNA. It matches the Rfam family "Y RNA". From Rfam's summary of the family: Y RNAs are components of the Ro ribonucleoprotein particle (Ro RNP), in association with Ro60 and La proteins. Lineage: Eukaryota; Metazoa; Chordata; Mammalia; Primates; Galagidae. The record is from Ensembl.